Non-coding RNA from Bactrocera oleae (olive fruit fly), 1133 nucleotides. The record is from RefSeq and is a predicted model, not a curated record. NCBI's taxonomy places the organism in Eukaryota, Metazoa, Arthropoda, Insecta, Diptera, Tephritidae.
UAUUAAAUUAAAAUUUUUAUUUACUCGUUUCUGUUACUUUUCACAACACUGUAGCUACAUUGCUAACCAAAUACAUACUUGAGUUUGUACUGGCGUAGUUAUGUAUUUAUAUUUGAAGCGUGUGAACAGCUUUUUAUAGUGCAUUGUGUUUUGAGAAAUAACCAGCUGUUGCUUUUUUACUUCAUCAUCAUUCACCCAACACAGCAGAGGUCAAAGUUGACGGUUGUAUAUAUUUAAUUACUGUUACAAAUAUGUUUGUAUAUAUCAGCAUAAUAGAGAAAAACAGGGUCAAGGACCUAUUCUUGGCGCCGGGUAUGCACUAAAUUUCAAAUGACAUUGCAUCGAAUUACAGCGGCACAUUUAUAUACAAAACAUAACACAUACAUAUGUACACAUGUCGGUAGCUACGUGCUAACACCGCUUGCAAUAUGAAGAUGCAUAAUUUUAUGAUGUUUGCUGUACUAUGCAUACGCAAGCGCAACGCUGCAAAAUAAACGAAAAGCAAUUAAAACGGUUGUGAGGACGAGGCACAACAUUUUCACCACACACACCUUUUCCACACAGGUAGAAAAUGUGUGAAUUUCCCCACACACGCUGCAAACAUAACAACAACAAAAAUACUUAUAUACAUUCGUAUGCAUGCAAUACUCUCCCCUCGCUUUCAACGACUCGCUCACAAUGGAAGCAACAACAAAUUUAUGCAGCAAAAACGUUACCCUGCCGCCGGCGCGACGAAGUUAUUUCUUUUAGACGUUUUACAAGGUUUCGAAAAACCGAAUAUAGAAGUUUUGUAUUCUAAACGGUCGAAAUGGUUUAAUUUUCACAUCCACGCAUAGAGAGCUAUAACUCUGUGAGCAAUUAAUAAAAUUUUCACGGAGAGUCGAGGAGAAAAAGGGCACAUACAGUGUCGGACAAAACAAAAGCAAGUACAUCAAUACAUGGUUAAAAAAAACACUGGUUCCGGUCUGGUUUGUAAUAUAUUUAAUCUAUAGAUCACUGGUUCAAAAUUCGAGUAAUAUUAGGACAAAGGAUGGAAAUGGGUGAAAUCAAAUAAUAACCACGACCAAUAUAUACUGCUAUUGUUUAAAACUUUGAAAAGUGCCAAACCUCUAUAAGAUAAAUAUUAUUCCAGA